This 664-nucleotide ribosomal RNA is filed under the name uncultured bacterium. Its description in RNAcentral is "bacterial SSU rRNA". It matches the Rfam family "Bacterial small subunit ribosomal RNA", at positions 831 to 1502 of the family's 1533-position model. The record is from RNAcentral.
CUAGUCUGAUCGGUGAUGCAGCUAACGCAUUAAACAUUCCGCCUGGGGAGUACGGUCGCAAGAUUAAAACUCAAAGGAAUAGACGGGGACCCGCACAAGUGGUGGAGCAUGUGGUUUAAUUCGAAGAUACGCGAAGAACCUUACCUAGCCUUGACAUUGAGAGAAUCCGGUAGAGAUACUGGAGUGCCUUCGGGAGCUCGAAAACAGGUGCUGCACGGCUGUCGUCAGCUCGUGUCGUGAGAUGUUGGGUUAAGUCCCGCAACGAGCGCAACCCUCGUCACUAGUUACUAACGGUUCGGCCGAGGACUCUAGUGAGACUGCCUUCGCAAGGAGGAGGAAGGUGAGGACGACGUCAAGUCAUCAUGGCCCUUACGGCUAGGGCAACACACGUGCUACAAUGGCCAGGACAAUGAGAGGCGAUACCGCGAGGUGGAGCAAAUCUAUAAACCUGGUCUCAGUUCGGAUUGUUCUCUGCAACUCGAGAGCAUGAAGCUGGAAUCACUAGUAAUCGUAGAUCAGCUAUGCUACGGUGAAUACGUUCCCGGGUCUUGUACUCACCGCCCGUCACACCAUGGGAGUUGAUUUCACCCGAAGCGGGGAAGCUAAACUGGCUACCCUCCACGGUGGAAUCAGCGACUGGGGUGAAGUCGUAACAAGGUAGCCG